Molecule: ribosomal RNA, 235 nt
Filed under: uncultured bacterium
Lineage: Bacteria
Description: partial 16S ribosomal RNA
Rfam family: Bacterial small subunit ribosomal RNA
Source: RNAcentral
CGGCGGACGGGUGAGUAAUGUCUGGGAAACUGCCCGAUGGAGGGGGAUAACUACUGGAAACGGUAGCUAAUACCGCAUAACGUCGCAAGACCAAAGAGGGGGACCUUCGGGCCUCUUGCCAUCAGAUGUGCCCAGAUGGGAUUAGCUAGUAGGUGGGGUAACGGCUCACCUAGGCGACGAUCCCUAGCUGGUCUGAGAGGAUGACCAGCCACACUGGAACUGAGACACGGUCCAG